ACCAAAACACCUUUUAAGUAAGGGAUGCUCAGGCACAGCUAGAAGGUGCACCUGCCCCUUGAAACUGGAAAUCCUGCUGGAAGGGGAUGUGGAGCUCACACCUGCUUCACACAUUAUUCAGAGAACAAUAGGAAACUAAUUAUGUUUGGAAAGUCACUAGUUAUUUAUAGCAAGGCAUCAAAUUUGUUACCAUGAGAGCUUCAAGCAGGUCAGGGUUACAGUCCUACAGUCACCUGCACAGGGCAUCCUAAAAUACCUGGGCUGGCCUACACUUGAAAUAAAACCGAGUUCAAACACAGCUAGGUUCUUAAAAUCAAUCCUCCAGCACAUAUUUGCUAAAAAUCUUCAUGGAAACAUCAUUUAGAGACCUUUAUCAGAAGAGACAGAGAUAAGGGUCAUGUAACCUGUGGGUGUCUGACUUAUUACAGCAAAAUUAGGCCUCUGUUGAUUUCAUAGGGCAGGACAGGCUGCGCCCAUCUUCAGCUGUUCUUACAGAAAACAUGUGCAGAAACGUUAUCUAAUUGCAGCAGUGGAGCAUCUCUGCAUCUGCUCUCCACGCACUUCAGAUUAAGUAAUUACCAGCGGCACGGCAGCAAUGGUAGGACAGUGGUUUCUGGAACAUGGAAUUAUGCCAGAAAAGCUUUGGGAUCCAGUUGCCAAGCGGAGGGAGUGGAAGCUCACUGCUGCCUCAUUUCACAGCAAUGACAUCAGCUCCGAGCUCCCUGGAAAUCCGAAGCCUCUCUCCAGGAGGAUGGAUCAUGGAUGGGUGCUGAGCUCGCAGCCGCAGCGGUCACGGGGCUGCUGAGCACAUCAGGUGAUUCACACACAAAAGGGAUUUGAGUCUUCCUCCAGCACCCAGAGGAACCACCAGCAGCUAUUUAUUUAUGUAUCACACAACAGGGAUUUAUAUCAUAUA
This is a long non-coding RNA of Vidua chalybeata, 916 nucleotides long. RefSeq lists it as uncharacterized. Lineage: Eukaryota; Metazoa; Chordata; Aves; Passeriformes; Viduidae. The record is from RefSeq and is a predicted model, not a curated record. The transcript has 3 exons.